UAGAAGGCUUCGUAGGGGAGGGUCACGCAUGAGUGGGCUGCACAAUAAAGGGCCAUGCACAAUUGGGUUGCACAUCACUAAACUGCAUACAUGUUGUGCUUGUGGGACUCACGUAGGGAAACAUGUAUGAGGGUUGCGCAGAUGGACGUUGCGCACCAGCAAGCCACGUAUAAGAGGACAACCUGUAUGAGAGUGAUCCAUUAGCUACUAAAAAGAG
Molecule: long non-coding RNA, 217 nt
Filed under: Theobroma cacao (cacao)
Lineage: Eukaryota; Viridiplantae; Streptophyta; Magnoliopsida; Malvales; Malvaceae
Description: long non-coding RNA (TCAC_LNC001305)
Source: RNAcentral